CCUACGGGAGGCAGCAGUGGGGAAUUUUGGACAAUGGGCGAAAGCCUGAUCCAGCAAUGCCGCGUGUGGGAAGAAGGCCUUCGGGUUGUAAACCACUUUUGUACGGAACGAAACGGUUCGCUUUAAUACAGUGGGCUAAUGACGGUACCGUAAGAAUAAGCACCGGCUAACUACGUGCCAGCAGCCGCGGUAAUACGUAGGGUGCGAGCGUUAAUCGGAAUUACUGGGCGUAAAGCGUGCGCAGGCGGUUAUAUAAGACAGUUGUGAAAUCCCCGGGCUCAACCUGGGAAUUGCAUCUGUGACUGUAUAGCUAGAGUACGGUAGAGGGGGAUGGAAUUCCGCGUGUAGCAGUGAAAUGCGUAGAUAUGCGGAGGAACACCGAUGGCGAAGGCAAUCCCCUGGACCUGUACUGACGCUCAUGCACGAAAGCGUGGGGAGCAAACAGGAUUAGAUACCCUGGUAGUCCACGCCCUAAACGGUGUCAACUGGUUGUUGGGUGCAUUAGUACUCAGUAACGAAGCUAACGCGUGAAGUUGACCGCCGNGGAGGUACGGCCGCGAGUAGUAACGUACAANAGAGUAGACGGCGNGAGACGUGCCGACGACGACGACGAGGGAGGUUAGG
This 624-nucleotide ribosomal RNA is filed under the name uncultured bacterium. RNAcentral describes it as "bacterial SSU rRNA". The stretch from base 1 to 542 matches the Rfam family "Bacterial small subunit ribosomal RNA", at positions 338 to 873 of the family's 1533-position model. The record is from RNAcentral.